GACAGCAGUCGCCACGGUAAUACGUAGGUCCCGAGCGUUGUCCGGAUUUAUUGGGCGUAAAGCGGGCGCAGGCGGUUAGAUAAGUCUGAAGUUAAAGGCUGUGGCUUAACCAUAGUACGCUUUGGAAACUGUUUAACUUGAGUGCAAGAGGGGAGAGUGGAAUUCCAUGUGUAGCGGUGAAAUGCGUAGAUAUAUGGAGGAACACCGGUGGCGAAAGCGGCUCUCUGGCUUGUAACUGACGCUGAGGCUCGAAAGCGUGGGGAGCAAACAGGAUUAGAUACCCGCGUAGUCCCUGUCUCUUAUACA
Molecule: ribosomal RNA, 306 nt
Filed under: uncultured bacterium
Lineage: Bacteria
Description: partial 16S ribosomal RNA
Rfam family: Bacterial small subunit ribosomal RNA
Source: RNAcentral